Molecule: long non-coding RNA, 663 nt
Filed under: Rattus norvegicus (Norway rat)
Lineage: Eukaryota; Metazoa; Chordata; Mammalia; Rodentia; Muridae
Description: long non-coding RNA NONRATT003890
Source: RNAcentral
AAGGAGAGCAUAUUUUAGUUUAUCUCUUCCUAUUGCCAAGUUCGAAUGACUCCUGCCUUUAGACCCAAUACUGUCAGGCAGAUCUCUCUAUGAGUUCAAGGCCUUGUCUGGGUAGUCAGUACAGGCCAUCUGGAGCUACAGAUUGAGAUCUUGUCUUAAAAAAUGAAGUAAAACUCCCUAAGUGUUAAAAGGAAGGAGGAGGACUCCUGAUCAUUGUCCUAAAACAAUAUGCAGUUUGUUGGAAGGUGCUUUAGGCCUUAAUAUCACCUUUGUUUGCCAUGUGGGGGUGCCACACACACCUUUACUCCCAGAACUCGAGGCAGAGGUUCAAGGCCAGCCAGGUCUACAGACUUACACCACACCGUGUAUUACAGCAGGUUAACACUGCCAAGAUUGAAGUCAUGGCUGGUCCAGAAAGUGAUGGCCAAUUCCAGUUCACUGGUAUUAAAAAAUAUUUCAACUCUUAUACCCUCACAGGUAGAAUGAAUUGUGUCCUGGCCACAUAUGGAGGCAUUGCUUUGUUGGUCCUAUACUUUAAGUUAAGGCCUAAAAAAACCCCAGCUGUGAAAGCAACAUAAAUGGAUUUUGAAAUGUCUGGCCUUAUCUGUUAAGUCCCACGCCUGAAGAAGCUGAUGUGAACUCAUCAUGUAAUACUCAAUUUGU